AUCAUGGCUCGGGAUGAACGCUAGCUACAGGCUUAACACAUGCAAGUCGAGGGGCAGCGGGAUUGAAGCUUGCUUCAAUUGCCGGCGACCGGCGCACGGGUGAGUAACGCGUAUCCAACCUUCCGUACACUCAGGGAUAGCCUUUCGAAGAAAGAUUAAUACCUGAUGGUAUCUUAAGCACACAUGUAAUUAAGUAUAAGUAUUAUCGUGUCGAUGGGAGUGCGUUCCACUUAGUUAAGG
This 240-nucleotide ribosomal RNA is filed under the name uncultured bacterium. Its description in RNAcentral is "partial 16S ribosomal RNA". It matches the Rfam family "Bacterial small subunit ribosomal RNA", at positions 16 to 250 of the family's 1533-position model. The record is from RNAcentral.